RNAcentral lists this transfer RNA (73 nucleotides) under Nitzschia sp. NIES-3576. RNAcentral's name for it is "tRNA-Arg". It matches the Rfam family "tRNA". From Rfam's summary of the family: Transfer RNA (tRNA) molecules are approximately 80 nucleotides in length. Their secondary structure includes four short double-helical elements and three loops (D, anti-codon, and T loops). Further hydrogen bonds mediate the characteristic L-shaped molecular structure. tRNAs have two regions of fundamental functional importance: the anti-codon, which is responsible for specific mRNA codon recognition, and the 3' end, to which the tRNAs corresponding amino acid is attached (by aminoacyl-tRNA synthetases). tRNAs cope with the degeneracy of the genetic code in two manners: having more than one tRNA (with a specific anti-codon) for a particular amino acid; and 'wobble' base-pairing, i.e. permitting non-standard base-pairing at the 3rd anti-codon position. Lineage: Eukaryota; Bacillariophyta; Bacillariophyceae; Bacillariales; Bacillariaceae. The record is from RNAcentral.
GAGCUUGUAGCUCAGCGGAUAGAGCAUAUAGCUACGAACUAUAGAGCCAUGGGUUCGAAUCCCCUCUUGCUCA